AGAACUUAGCAGAGAUGCUUUGGUGCCUUCGGGAACUCUGAGACAGGUGCUGCAUGGCUGUCGUCAGCUCGUGUUGUGAAAUGUUGGGUUAAGUCCCGCAACGAGCGCAACCCUUAUCCUUUGUUGCCAGCGGUCCGGCCGGGGACUCAAAGGAGACUGCCAGUGAUAAACUGGAGGAAGGUGGGGAUGACGUCAAGUCAUCAUGGCCCUUACGAGUAGGGCUACACACGUGCUACAAUGGCGCAUACAAAGAGAAGCGACCUCGCGAGAGCAAGCGGACCUCAUAAAGUGCGUCGUAGUCCGGAUUGGAGUCUGCAACUCGACUCCAUGAAGUCGGAAUCGCUAGUAAUCGUAGAUCAGAAUGCUACGGUGAAUACGUUCCCGGGCCUUGUACACACCGCCCGUCACACCAUGGGAGUGGGUUGCAAAAGAAGUAGGUAGCUUAACCUUCGGGAGGGCGCUUACCACUUUGUGAUUCAUGACUGGGGUGAAGUCGUAACAAGGUAAGCGUAGCGAG
This 517-nucleotide ribosomal RNA is filed under the name uncultured bacterium. Its description in RNAcentral is "bacterial SSU rRNA". It matches the Rfam family "Bacterial small subunit ribosomal RNA", at positions 992 to 1509 of the family's 1533-position model. The record is from RNAcentral.